AAUCUCUGGAGAGUCUCUUAAUUGAGCGCCGAAGGUGUACGACUGCAAAUUUUUUUGUAGCAAAUCUCUCAGGCAAAAGGACAGAGCUUU
RNAcentral lists this non-coding RNA (90 nucleotides) under uncultured Anaerostipes sp. RNAcentral describes it as "Glycine riboswitch". It matches the Rfam family "Glycine riboswitch aptamer", at positions 6 to 89 of the family's 94-position model. Rfam says of the family: This family represents the bacterial glycine riboswitch. Glycine riboswitches usually consist of two metabolite-binding aptamers domains with similar structures in tandem. The aptamers cooperatively bind glycine to regulate the expression of downstream genes. Lineage: Bacteria; Bacillati; Bacillota; Clostridia; Lachnospirales; Lachnospiraceae. The record is from RNAcentral.